RNAcentral lists this long non-coding RNA (359 nucleotides) under Lonchura striata (white-rumped munia). RNAcentral describes it as "domestica (Bengalese finch) lncRNA (ENSLSDG00000001692.1)". The record is from RNAcentral. Lineage: Eukaryota; Metazoa; Chordata; Aves; Passeriformes; Estrildidae.
AUUUUGGGGUUCAGGAAGGAAUUUGGGGGUUCAGUGAGGAUUUUGGAGGUUCAGAGGGGAUUGAGAAGGAAUUUUGGGGUUCAAGAAGGAAUUUUGGGGUUCAGUGAGGAAUUUUGGGGGUUCAAUGAGAAUUUUGGGGUUCAAGGAGGAUUUUUGGAGAUCAACAGGAACUUUAUGGGAUUCAGUUUGGGGUUCGAUGAGGAUUUUGAGGGUUCAAUGAGGAUUUGGGGGUUCAGUGAGGAUUUUGGGGGUUCAGUGAGGAUUUUGGGGGUUCAAUGAGGAUUUUGGGGGUUCAAUGAGGAUUUUGGGGGUUCAAUGAGGAUUUUGGGGGUUCAAUGAGGAUUUUGAGGGUUCAAUGA